AUCUUCGGCCAUAGGAUUGUGAAAACGCCGCAUCCCGUCCGAUCUGCGCAGCUAAGCACAAUACCGCUCAGUCAGUAGGAAGGUGGGGGACCACUUCCGAAUCCUGAGUAUCCGUUCGGUC
Molecule: ribosomal RNA, 121 nt
Filed under: Naematelia encephala
Lineage: Eukaryota; Fungi; Basidiomycota; Tremellomycetes; Tremellales; Naemateliaceae
Source: RNAcentral